This 324-nucleotide ribosomal RNA is filed under the name Triticum aestivum (bread wheat). Its description in RNAcentral is "partial small subunit ribosomal RNA". Lineage: Eukaryota; Viridiplantae; Streptophyta; Magnoliopsida; Poales; Poaceae. The record is from RNAcentral.
AUGGCAAGCUUCUUCGUUUGGAGCUCUAGAUAUAUCUUCAUUUGCUCCUCCUUUCCUUUGCUCCUCCUCUUGUCCCUCACUUCCUUUUGGCCCAUCAUGUUCUCCAAAGUGCCUUGCAAGGCGAUGGAAGAAGCAUCACGCCUCUCAUCGACCUUUGAGUUUGUCUUACCCCUCGGCCUCUUGAGCAAGUCUUCCUCAUCAGCCACGGCCUUCUUCCCUCCUUUCUUAUUACGAGCGGCAUACUGGUCAUUGAACUUGGCACAAUCUUUGAUGAACUCCCAACAUUGCGUGAGAGUGAAUGGCUUGUUCUUGUGUCGGGUCUAG